This is a non-coding RNA of Camellia sinensis, 792 nucleotides long. NCBI's taxonomy places the organism in Eukaryota, Viridiplantae, Streptophyta, Magnoliopsida, Ericales, Theaceae. The record is from RefSeq and is a predicted model, not a curated record.
UCCCAAUCUGUCCAGCAAUUUGUUUAAAAAUCUGUUCAUGGAAAUUUGUCUGUUUGGUGCAUAAAGUGUCAUUGAUUUAUACAUUGAUGUGUUAACAGGUAGCAAAAGAUGGAGAGUUGGAUUUCCCAAAGUUCUAUGAGGACAGCCACACUUCAAAGAAAACGAAUGACUGGAUCCAUCCGAAAUGCCGUGAGCUGCAUCAAGAGAUGGUCAAUGUACAAGCGGCUGCCAUCGAGUCGGGGACGCCAUUGACACAAGAGGAUAUUUCAAGGCAAGUGCUUGGACAGAAGAAAAGGUACUUGCUUGGAUUUGGGAGUGGCCCACAACCGUCUACCAUAUUUGCAACACGAGCACACGAUAAGGACAUGGAGGCAAUGCGAGCUGAGGUGGAGGCACUUCGUGAGGAGCGGCAAAAGGAUCAUGACGAGUUAAUGAAAGAGCGAGAGGAGCGCGAGAGAUGUUACAAUGAGCUGUUGAAAGAACGAGAGGAGCGCAUUCAAUUAUCCAAUGAGAUGUUGAAAGAGCGGGAGGAGGGACAAAAGGCAAGGGAGGAGACAAAUACAAAGGUCGAGCAUCUUAAUAACGUAGUUGCCAAACUGUCACAACUCUUGGGAAUCUAAGUUGGGCAUCCGACGUUUGUUUUUUGAUGUUUUUGGACAUACAAAUGUGGAUAUGUUUUUGUUGACAAGCACGGGAGGGCAUUUUUUUCAUAUCUCUAUCCGUAUAUAUAGUGGUUUGUAAAAAAAAUUUUGUUCGUAGCAAUUAACAUAGCACGUGGUACAUAAUAGUUUU